UGUAUUCAAGUCCCCAGACUCUGGCUUGUUGGAAGAGAUUAUUCAUGGGUUUCUUCCAAAACCCUUGUCCAAGAGAUGCGACCCUCCAAAAAACAAAGACCAAUCUUCCUCAGAUUUCUGAUAUGUAGGUUGCCCAACCUUUUGAAGGGUUGAAGAAAGGGAUAAAAGAACGAGCAUUUCGAUUUGUCGUUUGAUUACUAAGGGGCUCCGCAGCAGUUAGAGAAUCUCAACAGGGCCAGAAAAAUAAAUUUGUUUCUACCGUUCCCUUCUCUGACUCGCAGGUCCUCCCGGUGUGGGUAAAACAACACUGAUUAUGAGAGUUAUUGAAGCCCUAAAAGCCUCUAACCCCAGCUUGAAAGUUCAAGGCUUUUGCAGUUGUGUUGAGCAAGACUAGGCGGUGAGAAUGUGGGGCUAGGAAAUCUAUAAGGAGCAUGUCAUAAAUAAAUUUUCUUCAUAUUAAAUAAGUGCAACAGCACAAGAAAUAUUUGUUUUGAAUCUGGUUACUCAUAUGAUAUUAUUUUUGAAGCUUU
This is a long non-coding RNA of Alnus glutinosa, 530 nucleotides long. RefSeq lists it as uncharacterized. The record is from RefSeq and is a predicted model, not a curated record. Lineage: Eukaryota; Viridiplantae; Streptophyta; Magnoliopsida; Fagales; Betulaceae. The transcript is spliced from 3 exons.